Molecule: long non-coding RNA, 699 nt
Organism: Leopardus geoffroyi (Geoffroy's cat)
Lineage: Eukaryota; Metazoa; Chordata; Mammalia; Carnivora; Felidae
Exons: 2
Source: RefSeq, a predicted model, not a curated record
GCCUUUCCUUCGAGACCGAAGACUGCUUUGAGCAGACAUCUUAAGUCCUGGCAGUUUCCCUUUUCAUUUUUUCCUUCUUUCCCUUGCUCUGAGCACGUGUGGGAGUUGGUGGGCUGUUGAUUUCCCGUCGGAUAUACACCAAGGUAAACGUUUGAAAUCUGAGUCCUUCGGUGAUAAGAAUUAUAAUUUCCAGACUUAAAGUGUUGGCUCCAAAUCAGCCAUGGAACUGUCGGGAUUUUCCUCGAAUGACCGUCUAACAUAGGGGCAGUUUUCUAUAUUUGAAGGUAAUGAUGUUGGCAAUGAGUAGAUAGCACUCUUACAGCUUCAUUUGCAUGUAUUUUUACAUAAACCUGGGGGGGGGAUUCUCCAUUUUACACCCAACAUUUACCGAAUGCAUAAAAGACCAAGGCGACCUGAAAUGCAUCUUCCAGCGUACAGUGCGGGUCCUAUUUCACAUCUUGAGCGGGUAGGCCGGAGCAAUGGCCCAUGCCACCCAUCCGUUGGUUGAAUCUGCUGCGCAGACAAGACUACAGGCCCAGAACAUCCUACUCGACAACUGGGGUCUGGCAUUGACAGUGCUUUGCUAGUUCCAGGUCAACCCUCCCCCUCUGCCCCCAUCCUGGAGUCUACAGUCGCUGGGUCAGGCUCUCUGACCCUGCAGAGACAUGUUAAGAGGUAAACAGGUGAAUGCACUGGGCU